CAGCAGCCGCGGGAACACGUAGGCAGCAAGCGUUGUUCGGAGUUACUGGGCGUAAAGGGUGCGUAGGCGGUCCUAUAAGUAUGGAGUGAAAUCUCCCGGCUUAACUGGGAGGGUGCGCUAUAGACUGUGGGACUAGAGUGUGGGAGAGGAAAGUGGAAUUCCUGGUGUAGCGGUGAAAUGCGUAGAUAUCAGGAGGAACACCGGUGGUGUAAACGGCUUUCUGGACCAUAACUGACGCUGAGGCACGAAAGCGUGGGUAGCAAACAGGAUUAGAUACCCGAGUAGUCCCUGUCUCUUAUAC
This 301-nucleotide ribosomal RNA is filed under the name uncultured bacterium. Its description in RNAcentral is "partial 16S ribosomal RNA". It matches the Rfam family "Bacterial small subunit ribosomal RNA", at positions 509 to 807 of the family's 1533-position model. The record is from RNAcentral.